GUUUUAUCACACAGACCUGGCAACCCUGGACGUAAACCGCUGGAUCUCAGCAAGUCAAGACGCUGAAGACUGUUAACGGUUGAGCUCUGUCAGGUGUAAAGGGUUUGAGUUCAAAGCGUCAGCUAAAUCGGUGAUGCCAUCCAUUGUAACGCUGCAACUGGACAACCUGAAGAGAAGACAGCAUGAUAGUUUACAUUGAGGAUUCUUCAGUCCGCUUGAGAGCAGCUUCACUCCUGAAUCUCCAAGAUUAUUCUCAGACAGAUCCAGCUCUAUCAGACUGGAGGUAUUUGACCUCAGAGCUGAAGCCACAGCAGCACAACCUUCAGCUGUGAUUCCACAUUUAUUCAACCUGAGAGAAAAUUGUCCCUGUAACGUCCUGUGGUUCUCCUGCUGUGAUACAGUAAUCCUGUUAGAGUCAACAUGCAGCCAGGCGUACUGCAAUGUGCCAUGACAUGAAGAAAUCAUGAUUGAAAUUCCAGACUAAGACGACAAAAUAUUCAUAUAUAAG
Non-coding RNA from Misgurnus anguillicaudatus (oriental weatherfish), 508 nucleotides. The record is from RefSeq and is a predicted model, not a curated record. NCBI's taxonomy places the organism in Eukaryota, Metazoa, Chordata, Actinopteri, Cypriniformes, Cobitidae.